Papaver somniferum (opium poppy) is the source of this 1621-nucleotide long non-coding RNA. RefSeq lists it as uncharacterized. The transcript is spliced from 2 exons. The record is from RefSeq and is a predicted model, not a curated record. Lineage: Eukaryota; Viridiplantae; Streptophyta; Magnoliopsida; Ranunculales; Papaveraceae.
CUUCUUUCCUCUUCUUUUUUGCUUCUUCUCUUUCUCUUCUCUUUUCUUUUCUUCUUCUGUUCUUCGCCUCUGGCGAUUCUAUCAGUUUAUGAGGAUGUGAGGUCACGAGAAAUAGACAAGUUAUCAUGAACUGAGUGAGGUGGUGAUGAUGUUGGAAUUUAUUUUGUUUCAGAAGAGGAAUUGGAUAAUAAGAUUUGGAGAUUAGGAUUUCUGCGAGAUGAAGUUAUGAAAGAGUUGAUUAAUUAAAAGAGGAUUUGCAUAGUUGGUGAUGAAGAACAAAGGAGGUUGGUAUUUAAUUGUAAUUCUGAAGUUUAUUCAGCGUUGAGUUGAAGAGUUAGGGUUUCGUUAAAAUUCAGGGAAACUAUUGAAAGGUGAAAUCGAUGUUCUAAGAGGUUGAUUCGAGUUGGGUAAUGAGUGAAUUGAGGAUUUGGAGUGAUAUUACAGAUGAAGCUAAGUUUUAGAGGAUGAAAUCCAAUGAUGGUGAUUUAAUUUAGGGUUCUUAAUAGAAUAGAGUUUUGAGGUUCAUGGGUUUUGAAUGUUGAUGGAAGAGAUGAUAUUAAUGGUGCGUAAUUAGACGGAGAAGAAGACUUUUGUGUUUGUUUUUGAGGUAAUAUCUUCUUACUUGAUUUAAGGAUGUUAUAUUUGUUGAAGCAUGGAUGUAAUUGAUGUUUGUGAAAUUUGGAUAUUGAACAGUGAUUUGAGUAUGGAAAUGGGAGUAAACUGGUGGUUGUGUGAUUGUGGUGGAAGUGAUAACAUUCCAUACAACUGGUGGUGUUGGUUGAAGAUAUGAACUGCUGGUGGAGUUGAAAUAGAAGAUGUUAUGUAUGUAUGACCAUGGGAAUGAUUACAGGUGAAAGAGAAUGUGUUUGGAGUUGGAGUUGGGUAUGGUGGUGUUAUUAUUGCUGCUGUGGGUUAAGGAAUGCAGGGAAGCAGUUGGAAGUAUGUUAAUAGAGGCUGUGUGAAAAUGAAUGUUAAGAAUUUGGAUAUGAUAAUGAUAUUAAGUUAACUAGUGAUUAGAGUAUAUAAAUGGAGGUGGAGAUGAAUGAAUUAAUGGUAAUAGUAAAUUGAGAAUGAAUGUAUAGAUUUCGAGUUGCUGCUGCUGUUUUUGUUUGUUAGAAUUUAGUUGUUGCUGCUAAGAAAACUGAAUUGAGGUUGAUGUGGAUAUGGUUUUGGAAGUGAACUAGUGGUGUUGUUUAUGAAGAUGAAUGUUGGGUUUUUACUGAAAAGAAUGCUUCAUGAGGGAUGAUCUGAUGUGGUGAAUUGGUUUCGUAGUUGGUGGUGUUUAUGCUGAGAGGAGAGGUUGUAACUUAAGUUGGUAUGGUUGUAUUAUUGAAGUUACAGCUGCAGUUCAAACUAUAUACAGUGGUGCAAGUUUUUUUAUUUGGAUGAUGAGUGAACUGGUGUAAGAAGAAUGAGUUAAUAGAGUUGUAGAUAGUGUUCCAGUGAAAGCUUGGGACUGCUUUUGCAGUUUCAGAGACAGAUCAGAGUUGCGCAGCGGAAGCUUAGAGGAGUUGAUUACGUUAUUUAGAUUGCUUCCGCUAUGUUUUUUUUGUGUUUAUAUUUUAUUUGUAAAUCAACUCACUAUUGUAUAUGUAUCAACUGAGAGGAAUUCUUGUUUUUA